GAAGGAAAGAAAGCUAGAGGGAGCCGGAGCGGAGCUGCACUUCACGCCGAAGUUUCCCCUUCGAAUCGUCUGGAGUUGCCACUUUGGAGGCAGAUUCUCCAGCCUUGGUCAGGCCUUCAGAUGACUGCAGCCCUGGCUGAUGACUUGACUGCCACCUCAUGAGAGACCUUGAGCCAGAACCACCCAGCCAAGCCACUCCUGGAUUCCUGAUCCACAGAAACUAGCUUCUCUGAGUCCUGGGCCAAGUGUGUGUGCAGGAGACACACUGCAGGAGAUAGUGCCAGUUUCUCCUGCAGGUCACCCGCAGCAUCAAGGUUGGACAUGGUAAGACACAGAAGAGGGUUCCAGUUUGUCCUCAAUGGUCCCAUUGGUCCUCAUGAGUU
RNAcentral lists this long non-coding RNA (383 nucleotides) under Homo sapiens (human). Its description in RNAcentral is "HSALNT0328874". Lineage: Eukaryota; Metazoa; Chordata; Mammalia; Primates; Hominidae. The record is from RNAcentral.